Apodemus sylvaticus (European woodmouse) is the source of this 744-nucleotide long non-coding RNA. RefSeq lists it as uncharacterized. The record is from RefSeq and is a predicted model, not a curated record. NCBI's taxonomy places the organism in Eukaryota, Metazoa, Chordata, Mammalia, Rodentia, Muridae. The transcript has 3 exons.
AAUGAGUGUCCAGGGAGCUGCAAGGAUCUACAGAAAGCACAACAACGUGGGUGGAAGCUGGGGCCAAAACUAGGGGAAAAGGGGGCCACUGCCACCAUGUGGCCACUCUCUCUUUAGCUGGAAAAAAAUCGAUGACUCCAAACUUUAAACAGCUUAAAGAAGUCGUCUCUCUUAAUAGGAGACAAGGCCGGAGAUGUUAAAUCGAUCGGCUCAAAUGUCUGCUCCGAAAUCCCUGAAGAGAAAAGCCCGGCGGUGCUGUUGCCUGGGCUGGGGUCCUGACCUGUGAAGAGAGAUCUGAGAAAGAAAGCCUUCGUCUUUCACUGCUUCCCAACAAUGAUGCUACACAGCCACCUGCUUAAGACUCCCACCAGCACGUGCGCCUUCCAGGCCGAGAGGAGCUGCGUCCUCGAACUCUUCACAGAGUAUUGCAGCUUCCUGUGUCAGAGGAUCAAACAUUCAUGCAACAGAAAGCAGUUGAUCUGCACACCUAAGGGUUGAUGCUGGAUCCUCACCUCUCUGUGCUGGCAUCAUGAAAGAGGAUGGUAUCAAUGGGGUAUAGCUGCUUUCAUUCUGGGUUCCAGAAUGAAGAUCACAUGGGACAGGAACUCCUCUGAGCAGACUUGGUGACAAAUAGUCCUUAAUGUAGCUAAUACAAUUUGGAGGCAAUUCAUAAGUUACUUUCUGACUUGGGCAGCAUCAUGUCCACUCCUUACAGUAAGUUAUAGUUCUUGUAAAUGGACUAAA